AUACGUAGGGUGCAAGCGUUAAUCGGAAUUACUGGGCGUAAAGCGUGCGCAGGCGGUUUUGUAAGACAGAGGUGAAAUCCUCGGGCUCCACCGGGGAACUGCCUUUGUGACUGCAAGGCUAGAGUACGGCAGAGGGGGAUGGAAAUCCGCGUGUACCAGUGAAAUGCGUAGAUAUGCGGAGGAACACCGAUGGCGAAGGCAAUCCCCUUGGCCUGUACUGACGCUCAUGCACGAAAGCGUGGGGAGCAAACAGGAUUAGAUACCCUGGUAGUCCACGCCCUAAACGAUGUCAACUGGUUGUUGGGUCUUCAUUGACUCAGUAACGAAGCUAACGCGUGAAGUUGACCGCCUGGGGAGUACGGCCGCAAGGUUGAAACUUAAAGGAAUUGACGGGG
This 395-nucleotide ribosomal RNA is filed under the name uncultured bacterium. RNAcentral describes it as "partial 16S ribosomal RNA". It matches the Rfam family "Bacterial small subunit ribosomal RNA", at positions 523 to 918 of the family's 1533-position model. The record is from RNAcentral.